This 477-nucleotide ribosomal RNA is filed under the name Bacilli bacterium oral taxon C43. Its description in RNAcentral is "bacterial SSU rRNA". It matches the Rfam family "Bacterial small subunit ribosomal RNA", at positions 28 to 484 of the family's 1533-position model. The record is from RNAcentral. Lineage: Bacteria; Bacillati; Bacillota; Bacilli.
GACGAACGCUGGCGGCGUGCCUAAUACAUGCAAGUCGAGCGGAGUUUUUAAAAGCUUGCUUUUAAAAACUCAGCGGCGGACGGGUGAGUAACACGUGGGCAACCUGCCCUGUAGACUGGGAUAACUUCGGGAAACCGAAGCUAAUACCGGAUAAUCAUAGAAGUUGCAUAGCUUCUAUGUAAAAGUUGGGUUUACCUAACACUACAGGAUGGGCCCGCGUCGCAUUAGCUAGUUGGUAAGGUAACGGCUUACCAAGGCGACGAUGCGUAGCCGACCUGAGAGGGUGAUCGGCCACACUGGGACUGAGACACGGCCCAGACUCCUACGGAAGGCAGCAGUAGGGAAUCUUCCGCAAUGGACGAAAGUCUGACGGAGCAACGCCGCGUGGGCGAUGAAGGCCUUCGGGUCGUAAAGCUCUGUUGUUAGGGAAGAACAAGUGCUAUUUCGAAUAGGGUGGCACCCUGACGGUACCUAAAC